UAUUCAAAGACAGUAACUUUAGAGGGAUUUUCAGUUGCUAUGACACAGUUGCUUGGAAUUAAUCUGGGAUUGACAUAUGAUGACAUCUACAACUGUAACUGUCCAGGAGCUACAUGCGUAAUGAAUUCUAAGGCAAUUCUUAAAUGGAACAAAAUGAAGAGAUUUUGGCACUGAGCAAAAAGUGUAAGUGGAAGUUCUACAUCAGAAGACAGCAGUAGUAGCAGCAACAGUAACAGCAGUAGUGACAGCAACCAGUCAUAGAGGUAAUAACUACAUGAUAACAUCAAAAGCCAUAAGAUAGAGAAAGGAUAUUACCAAGAAACUUACCAUUAACUGGCUUGAUUCAACAAUGAAAACAAAAAUCGCCUUUUUUCUCCUUUCAUUAUGGCUUAAAGCUUUCAAUUGCACAAACAAAAUAAAUUCUAUGACAGGAAGUAUG
Molecule: small RNA, 439 nt
Filed under: Pan troglodytes (chimpanzee)
Lineage: Eukaryota; Metazoa; Chordata; Mammalia; Primates; Hominidae
Description: processed transcript
Source: RNAcentral